CGAAAUUCCUUGUCGGGUAAGUUCCGACCUGCACGAAUGGUGUAACGAUCUGGGCGCUGUCUCAGCCAUGAGCUCGGUGAAAUUGUAGUAACGGUGAAGAUGCCGUUUACCCGCAACGGGACGGAAAGACCCCGUGCACCUUCACUAUAACUUAACAUUGACAUUGGAUACGCGAUGUGUAGGAUAGGUGGGAGGCAGUGAAGCAGGGACGCCAGUUCUUGUGGAGCCGUCCUUGAAAUACCACCCUUUGCUUAUUUGAUGCCUAAUCUUGUUUUAGACGAGAGACAUUGUUUGGUGGGUAGUUUGACUGGGGUGGUCGCCUCCAAAAGAGUAACGGAGGCUUCUAAAGGUACCCUCAGUACGGUUGGUAACCGUGCGUAGAGUGCAAUGGCAUAAGGGUGCUUGACUGUGAGACCAACAAGUCGAUCAGGUACGAAAGUAGAGCAUAGUGAUCCGGUGGUUCCGCAUGGAAGGGCCAUCGCUCAAAGGAUAAAAGGUACGCCGGGGAUAACAGGCUGAUCACUCCCAAGAGCUCAUAUCGACGGAGUGGUUUGGCACCUCGAUGUCGGCUCGUCACAUCCUGGGGCUGGAGAAGGUCCCAAGGGUUCGGCUGUUCGCCGAUUAAAGUGGCACGCGAGCUGGGUUCAGAACGUCGCGAGACAGUUCGGUCCCUAUCUGUUGUGGGCGUUGGAAGCUUGAGAGGGGCUGACCUUAGUACGAGAGGACCGGGUUGGACAAACCUCUGGUGUACCUGUUGUGGCGCCAGCUGCACCGCAGGGUAGCCAUGUUUGGUGAAGAUAAGUGCUGAAAGCAUCUAAGCACGAAACUUACCUCAAGAUGAGGCUUUCUUUAAGGGUCCAGGAAGAUGACCUGGUUGAUAGGCUGCAGGUGUAAAGGUGGUAACAUCAAAGCCGAGCAGUACUAAUUACCCGUAAGCUUUCUUAC
Molecule: ribosomal RNA, 945 nt
Filed under: Bacteroidales bacterium
Lineage: Bacteria; Pseudomonadati; Bacteroidota; Bacteroidia; Bacteroidales
Description: partial 23S ribosomal RNA
Rfam family: Bacterial large subunit ribosomal RNA
Source: RNAcentral